Long non-coding RNA from Neofelis nebulosa (Clouded leopard), 3130 nucleotides. RefSeq lists it as uncharacterized. The transcript has 2 exons. The record is from RefSeq and is a predicted model, not a curated record. NCBI's taxonomy places the organism in Eukaryota, Metazoa, Chordata, Mammalia, Carnivora, Felidae.
UCAGUUGAUGGGCAUUUGGGCUCUUUCCAUAAUUUGGCUAUUGUUGAAAGCAUUGCUAUAAACACUGGGGUACAUGUGCCCCUAUGAAUCAGCUCUCCUGUAUCCUUUGGAUAAAUCCCUAGUAGUGCUAUUGCUGGGUUGUAGGGUGGUCCUAUUUUUAAUUUUUUGAGGAACCUCCACACUGUCUUCCAGAGCGGCUGCACCAGUUUGCAUUCCCACUGACAAUGCAAGAGGUUCCUAUUUCUCCACAUCCUUGCCAACAUCUCUUGUUUCCUGAGUUGUUAAUUUUAGCCACUCUGACCAGUGUGUGGUAUCUCAAUGUGGUUUUGAUUUGUAUUUCCCUGAUGAUGAGUGAUGUUGAGCAUCUUUUCAUGUGUCUGUCAGCCAUCUGGAUGUCUUCUUUGGAAAAGUGUGUAUUCAUGUCUUCUGCCCAUUUCUUCACUAGAUUAUUUCUUUUUGGGUGUUGAGUUUGGUUAACUCCCUUAUAGAUUUUGGAUACUAACCCUUUAUCUGUCAUUUGCAAAUACCUUCUCCCAUUCCGUCAGUUGCCUUUUAGUUCUGUUGAUUGUUUCCUUUGUAGUGCAGAAGCUUUUUAUCUUGAUGAGGUCCCAAUUGUUCAUUUUUGCUCUUAUUUCCCUUGCCUUCAGAGACGGCAAGAAAUUGCUGUAGCUGAGGUCAAAGAAGUUGUUGCCUGUUUUCUCCUCUACAGUUUUGAUGGUUUCCUGUCUCACAUUUAGGUUUCCAUCCUGUCAAUGCUGAUCUUUUUGGUCCAAGAAGCACAGACCAGACCCAGAACAGAAUGUGGACAGCUGUGGCCACAACUACUUCAGGCUGGUGGAGAAACCUGCCCUGUGGUCCUCAGUCUUCAGGAAGAACUGAAGUUCUUCUGAAGUUCCCAUCAAGAACCCCAUGAAAAAGCUGUUGUUUAACCACAGUGUGAAUGAACUCAAUACGAAGGAAGAAUCCACCGAUGUCCCAUGAUUACUCACAUUUGGGUUUGAGUAACUGGGACACAAGAGCAUGAGUAGACAGACAAAACAGCUUCUGUACCUUCAUGUCCUGGUUGUAUCAGGCGGCAUAGGGGCACCAGGGAGGAGGUGGGGGUGGGAAUGGAGUGGGGUGGUAAUUGGAGUUGGAGGUGGUGUUUCAGUAAGGGUGAGAUUGGGGAGGGGGUGUGUCAGGAGAAGAAGGAGGUGAGGGACAGUACCAAGAUUAGAUCAAGUACUAGAGUAGGGUGGGGGGGGGGGUGGGGUUCAGACAGGUUAGUUGGUCAGCAGGUCAAUAAAUCACUAGGUGAGCAGGACACAAGUAGCAGCUGGAGCAGAGGAGGAUCCAUCUAUGUUCAAGCCUUCAACUCUCUGAGCAUUGCUUUAACAGCCUGUAACCUUUAUUCUCUCUCUCUCUCUCUCUCUCUCUCUCUCUCUCUCUCUCUUGACCAAUCAGCUCCCUUCACCCCUGGUAGAUCAACACAGACACCCAGCGUGACUUUAUUUUUUAAAAAGCCACUUCUCACCUACCACAUCACCACAUGCCAUCCCAACGACUGCUGCUCUCUGGAACACUGGCAGACCUUCUGGUUUCUGGUCCCUCCCAACCCAGGUCCCUUUCCCCUCUUCUCGGAGCUCUCUCCCUCCUUUCAGAACUCCAAUGAAAUACAUAAGCAGAAUGAGAGUUUUCAACCCUCUCUAACUCAAAGAAGACAUAACAUCCAUAAGAUAUAGAUCUUGCUAGCAACCAUCUGAAAUCCCACAGCAAUAUCCAUAUAUGUGUCCACAUCUACAUAUAACACUGUGGAGGACACAUUAACUUUAGGCACAUAGGCUACAGAUAUAAAAACUCAUACUACUUAUCUUGGCCAUACGUGAAAUUUCAAUAUAUUCCAGAGGAAUGAAACACACAGAGCAUCUUUUGGUAAUAUAAUGUGCUAGAAAUCGCUGCUAAAAAGCUAACUAGAAAUUCCCGUAUGUUUAGUAAUUGAGAAGCCCCUCUAUAAAUAUGAAUGAAGAAAUCCCAAAGAAAAAGAGCUAUAUUUGACUGAAUGAGCAUGAUAAAAUUAUAAUCAAAUAUGUCUCCAGACCUGGAAUAUCCUGAAAUAUUGGUGUGAGAAGGCUGUCUGGUCCCCAAAUCAUCUCUAAUUGGCCUAGACCUUUUAAUACCUCAAAUAGUGGUCGAUCUGUCACUUGUCUAUGUGACCCUCCUACCCACUAGGUUGGACUUUACAUUAUGAACCCCACAGGGGGAAUAAUCCAAGCUGACUCUCAUGGCAUCUCCUGGGAUCUGCAGGAAUGAGAGCAUUUUAAGAUAAAUAGUUCAUCAGCUUAUCUCUUGGGGGCCCUGGGACAACACCCAUAUUGUUAGCAGCACCAGGUGUGCUGGGCAGGGAGGGCCUAGCAGGUGGCCAGGGUCACCCCAAUUAUAACUGGAGCAGGGAUCAAGGAAAGAAGCAGCAGUGAACAGAGACUGGGGGCCUUGAACAGGUGAGAUCAUUCAUGGAGGUAAGGUAGUGUCCCCAAAGCCAGUAUCAGCUUCCCAUCUGGAGAGCCCUUUGUGGCCCCUGGGGGCAGGGCCAGGAGCUUAGAGUUUGAGAUCCAGUGUGCUGCUUACCAGCUGUGUGACCCUGGGCUGUGUUCUUUCAGUAAAAUGGUGUCCUUCCGUGUCCAUGCCUGUGUCCAUAACUGUGCUAUGGACAGGAGGAAGCCACGUCCUAAGCACCUUUGCACAUUAGUGUCACCAUCUCUAUGUGAUGCAGGGUCAUCGAGCCCAAUGGUCAUGAAUGAAUUCUUGAGACAUUUUAUGGUGCAAAAAGGUGUUUUAAUUAUACCACAGGGACAGGACCCAUUGGCAGAAAGAGUUGUACUUGGAAGGUAAGGAAUGACUGAUUGUAUACUUUUAAGUUUGGGGGAUGGGGAAGGUAGAGAUAACCUAAGUCUCUAAAGGGAUUUGUGCAUGUUAGAGAAGAGUCACGGGAUCCUGGAGUUCAGGCUGUUGUGAAGCCAGUUGCUUUCAGUCUCUAGCAAAACAUCAACAUUAAGGCAGCCAUGAGCACUUUGAGCAGGGCCACGCUCUGCAUGUCUCAGGGAUUUAUCAGUGGGCUGCAAGUUGUGAGAAAAUAUAAUUUUGAUUAUGGUUC